Homo sapiens (human) is the source of this 5020-nucleotide long non-coding RNA. Ensembl annotates it as C21orf62 antisense RNA 1. Its record names the gene C21orf62-AS1. The record is from Ensembl. Lineage: Eukaryota; Metazoa; Chordata; Mammalia; Primates; Hominidae.
AGACGGCGCUGCUGCAGUGCGUCUUCGCACUUACGCGGAGCGGUAAUGUGAGGAAGCCUCCCGCCAAACAGAUGAGGGAGGAGGAGGAGGGGAGAGGCCAGAGAGAGAAGCGGCUUUCGGGAAGGAAAGUGUGAUCUAGUAGGUGGAAUAGUCCUCUCCAAACUUUGACCUGAGAAUGACCCUCUAUUUGGAUUUGGAUUACACAAAGUUUAACGUUUUUUGGAAAAAUCCUACCUAGGUAAUGUGUAGUUCUCAAUGCAUCAUGUCAGGCAGCUUAUGAUGCCAAUUUGUCCCAUGGUAAGUUUUUUUUUUUUAUCUCUAUGGGUGCAUAGUAGGUGUAUGUGUUUGCGGGGUACAUGAGAUGUUUUGAUACAGGUAUGCAAUGUGAUCAUGGAGACACAUGGGGUAUCCAUUCCCACAAGCAUUUAUCAUUUGUGUUACAAACAAUCCAAUUACACUCUUUUAGUUAUUUUAAAAUGUACAAUUCAGUUAUUGGCUAUGGUCACCCCUGGUAAGUUUAAUCACUCAGUUAUGGACCUUUCUCCAUUGUAAAGGUCCUACUUGUAGUUAAUAAGUAAUCUGUGGAAUGAUGAUAAUUUUAGACUGUGUAAAUAUUCCUCAGAAUUUCAACCAAUCAUUUUAGCAUCCAUUAAUGAUUCUUUUCAGAAUUCAUGAUUACUAUAGCAUUUGCAAAAUGGUAAUUUGGUAUUACUCUCUAUUACUCCUUCUAAAUUUAUUAGUUGCCAAUGUUCUGUAAAUCAGACUUUCUCUUCUUCUUUCCCACUUUUUAUUUUUUUACUUUUUUUAGUGACAGUACAGACUCAUGGAGUCUUUUUCAAAUCAAUAUGCUAAAAUCCAUUUCUGUAAUUGAUCGUUUUGAUGUUCAUAUUGUCCCUAAUUUGGCCAGUAGAACUGUCUGCGAUGGGUUCUGCAUUCUCUUGCUACAUCUCCAUCAACUUUUUGACCUUAUCUUACUUUCUGUCACAGUAAGAUGUUUCAAGCUCACUUUAUGUUUUUGUUUCUCCAGACCCCUGGAAUCAGCCAUUUCUUCAAAACCCUAUUUUUUGUUUGUUUGUUUGUUUUAAUGGGGAAUGGUGUUGAGAAACCACAAUUUAGGUGUCAGGUGUGUUCUUUGCCACAGGGGUGUCAUUGCUUCUAGGCUUUCUCAGAGGAUAAAGCUAAGACAUAUGUCUUAAAAAGCAUGAGUUUGGCCAGGUGUAGUGGCUCACACCUGUAAUCCCAGCACAACAAGGGAGGAUUGCUUGAGCCUACGAGUUCGAGACCUGCCUGGGCAACAUAGUGAGACCUUGUCUCUACAAGUAAUUAAAAAAAUUAGCCAGGCAUAAUGGCAUACAUCUGUAGUCCCAGCUACUUGGGAGGCUGAGGUGGGAGGAUUGCUUGAGCCCAGGAGGUCGAGACUGCAGUGAGCUAUUAUCAUACCACUGCAGCACUCCAUGCUGGGUGACAGAGCAACACCCUGUCUCAAAAAAAAAGAAAAAAAAAGUGAUGAGUUUGCACUGAUACCUUUAAUUCCAAUCCAACAUCCCAGGCUUCUGCUCCUUCCCUCACUUCAUAUUUCCUACCAUUACAACUCUGGAUGGACCUCCAAAAAUUUGAGUGUAUUUACUCUUUUGCACAAUCCUACAAAGUGGUUUUAGAAUUGUUGUACCAAUAUUAUCACCACCAACAAGCCUACUAAAGUUUAUAAUUUCUUUGCAUUUUUAAAAACUAACAGUGUUUUAUUUCUUUCAUAAAAAAUCUUAAAUGUGGCAAAAUGUUCAUAUUUGUCAAUUCUGGAUGAUAAUUACAUGAGUGUUAGUCAUAUUAUUCAUUCUUUUCUUUUUAAAAAAUUCUUAUUGAAGUAUAGAAUGCAUACAGAAAAGUGCAUUUAUUGUACAUGAAGAGCUAAAUGAAUUUUUACUAACUGGCAUAUGUGUAUGUGUGUGUGUGGGGUGCUUCUCUAUGUAGAUAUACAAAAAUAUAAAUGUUGUUUUCUAGCUUGUGUAAAUUUUAAGACACAUUCCUAAAUUGUACUUCAAAGUGACUGUACCAGUUUAUUCUCUUAAAUAGAGACUAUUUGCCUACAGGCAUGACAAAAUGGAAUAUCAAAUAACUUUACUUUUUGCCAAUCUAGUGGAUGAAAUAUUAGUUUCCUGUUGCAUUUCUCUGGGUAGAGGUAAUUUUUUUGUUGUUCAGUUAUUGGCUACUUGUUUUCAUCUUAAAGUGAAUUGCAUGCUUAUUUCAUCGUUUUUCUAUUAGAUUGUUAGUCUCUUUGUUUUCUACUUUAAUACUAUCUAAUUUAACAUUAUGAGAUUUGUCUUGGGGUAAGACUGUAACUUUAAGCAGUAAGCACUUGUUCCAGCAUCAUUUGUUUAUUUAUGUAAAAAUGGGCUGGGCAUGGUAGUUCAUGCACUUUGUAAUCUCAGCACUGCGGGAGGCUGGGGCGGGUGGAUCGCUUGAGUCCAGGAGUUUAAAACCAACCUGGGCAACAUGGCAAGACUCAGUCUCUCCAAAAUUGCAAAAUUAGCCAGACGUGGUGGUGUGCACCUGUAGUCCCAACUACUCAAGAGGCCUAGGUGGAAGGACCGCUUGAGCCCAGGAGGCAGAGGUUGCAGUGAGCCAAGAUUACGGCACUGCACUCUAGCCUGGGUGACAGAGUGAGACCUUGUCUCAAAAAAAUAAAAAUAAAAUAUGUAUGUAGAAAUGCUCUUAUUGGGUUUUCUCUAUUAUGAAAGUGAUUUUGUGUGUUUUAAAUUUUAUUUGUAUAAACUUAUGGGGCAUAAGUGCAAUUUUGUUACAUGGAUAUAUUACAUAAUGGUGAAGUCAGGGUUUUUCGUGUGUCCAUCACUGGAAUAAUGUACCUUGUGUCCAUUAAGUAAUUUCUCAUCAUCUACUCCCUGCUCUUUCAAGUCUUGAUUAUAUGUUUAUUCAAAAAAUAAAUAUAUCUCCCAGUAAAUAAAUAUUUCUCCCAGAUAGGUAGAAAAUAAGAAUUGCCCCCAUACCAUCACCACAUAUGAUACUGUUUUUAGUGUGCGUCCUAGUCUGUUUUUUAUUUUUUGUUGUUGUUUUGUGUGUGUGUGCUUCUAACACCCUCAAUUGACUUAAUUUCCCUUUCCAUUUUUUUUAAUGAUUUUACUAUUAGCAAGUACUUUUUUUUUUUUUUUUAGUUUAGGAUCUGUCUUUGAGGCAUCCUUCCUGCUGUAUUUGUCUAUCUAUGGUGCCAUUUAUAUUGUCUUACAAUUGUCUUUAGGAGAAAUGUACUCUCUGUAGAGCCAGCUCUCCCUCAUUGCUUUCCUAGAGUCUGGGUAGGAUAAACAUGACCUUGUGCAACAUUUUGAGUUGUGACUCUGUAUUAGUUUGUUCUCACACUGCUAAUAAAGACACACAUGAGACUGGGUAAUGUAUAAAGGAAAGAGGUUUAAUUGACUCACAGUUCCACAUGGCUGAGGAGGCAUCACAAUCAUGGCUGAAGGUGAAUGAGGAGCAAAGUCACGUCUUAUAUGGUGGCAGGCAAGAGUGUGUGUGCAGGGGAACUCCCCUUAAUAAAACCAUCAGAUCUUAUAAGAACUCACUAUCAUGAGAACAGCAUGGGAAAGACCCACUCCCAUGAUUCAAUUACCUCUCACCAGGUACCUCCCACAACCUGUGGGAAUUGUGGGAGCUACAAUUCAAGAUGAGAUUUGGGUGUGGCACAGCCAAACCAUAUCAGACUCUGUUAAAUGAAAAAGCCUCCGUACAUCAUUAUUCUUGUAACAAAUCACAUCCAAUUUACAAGUGUUCUGUAAAUUCUGGAGAAACAGAGGCCCUGAAGUUAUUCGUGAGCAAGUCUGGGAAAUGGAAAUGGAGGUUCCAAUUCCUGUUUUUACUAAUUUAAUGUGUAUAAAAUGUUAUCUAUAUCUUUUCUUCAUUCCUUUGUUCCUUCCUUUCUUUUGAGGGACUUUCAUAGGUUCAUUCAAGAGUUUUAACCCCUAACUCAUUUUUCUCACAAGGCCUUAAAUUCCACAACCUCAUCAUCUACCACCUUUGGUGCUUUCAGAAUCAUGACUCUCAAUGUUGAAGAAUGGGCUACUGCAUGGAAGGUGGGUGCAAACCCCUAAAAUUUCCACCCCUGGUUCUGGAAAGUGAGAAAUUGGGGAUUUCAAUACUGCAAGCCAUCCUUCACAUUCUAAACUCAUUGUCUUUACUUAGUUCCGUCAGCAUUUCUUUCUUCCAGUCAGUGGGGUAUUGGCAUGGACUUGUACUGGCUCAUAAGAGCUGAUUGGUAAGUUUUCAGGAAUUUGCAAGCUGGUUGUUAAGCACAGUCAUUAUUGAAAGCAAAUUAUGUAAACUUACAAUUAAAUAAAUUAUAUCAAAACCAAAAAUAAUAAAUACUCAGAACUUAUCACUUCCUAAUUAUUUUACUUCACUUUACUAUUAUUCAUGCUUUUGGGGUUAGUUGUGCCUGUUGUAUAGGUAGGGUGGAAAUACUAUAUAAUGCUGCCCUAUUGUAUGUCUUUUCUCAACUCCAUGUUCUCUUGGUAGCAUGAAAUUGGGUUAUGGUGGCAGUAUUUACACCACUACAUAUCAGAGUGUGAUUUAUGAUUUUGUUGAGUGUGAUGGAGAAAAUGUUAACGAUGCAGAUUAAACUUAAAAGUGUGUCAUGUCCAUAGCCCUUACAUUGUGAAUAGUCCCCAUACAUGAGAAAAUAUUCCUCCAGUAUUUGAAAACUAUUAUUUGAUUCAGCAAAGAAGUUGCUUUCAUCACUGACUAGCAAGUGACAUUCUCACAUAUAUCUUUGUUGUUUAACUUUCCUCUUACUUCUAACAUAAAUGAAAAUCUCAACCAAUAUUUAUACCAAAACUAUACAUGCUCAUCAGUUGCAACCCUAGGUUGGCUUUGUGUACAAGAGUUUGGCAAAAAUCAAAGCAUUCUUUGAGAACUAAUGAUGUACAAAGAGUAUAUAAUAAAGAGUAAUCUAUAGUUUAUUAUCAUUUGUAAAUUGUGUGCUACACAUUCUUUACAUCCGUAAAAUUGAAAUAAA